Molecule: long non-coding RNA, 895 nt
Organism: Stomoxys calcitrans (stable fly)
Lineage: Eukaryota; Metazoa; Arthropoda; Insecta; Diptera; Muscidae
Exons: 3
Source: RefSeq, a predicted model, not a curated record
GAAGAAAAAGUCAGUCGGCGUCUAACAUUCAGAGAGAAAAUACAUAAAACCUGUAAGGGAAUUCAAACUCUGGUCCUGUACCUCCUGAAUUCCUCAUCACGUAUUAUUCUAGUCAAUAUUCAUAAAGACUAUCGUAAAUUGCCCAUACAUACAAGCGUGAGGGUUUAUGAAAAAAGCCCGUCAGAUCGUGUCUGAGUUCCGUGUGUCGGAGCCAGUCAUUCAAGUAAACUGCACAAGGGCGUAUAGACCCUUAACCUGUGUGUGUGUGAAAAUUAAUUAUCCGUGUGAUUAGUGCAAACCAGUCGUGUUCGAAAAUCAGAUCUAAAAGAUCUAUUGUGUUCAUUGCGAAAGACAGGUGUGUCAGAGCGUUAUUCCUUGCAUCAAAGGAAUCACUGUGUCCUGUCUAUGACCACCUCAUAAGUGUCUCUGUUCUCUCUUACCUCCAUCCGCAGUAUGUCCGGCAUAGUCCUGUCUCAACAGGUGUUUCCCACCACCCGUGAAGCCUUUCGUGAAUUUAUUCUGUCUGUCAGGGGUGCUACUGCAUCACCUGUCACUAUCUGCAUCACCUGUCAAAAAAAUAAAACUAGAAAUCGAUAAUGAAGAAACCGAAUGCGGCGCCGGAAAAGAAGGCGAAGCGAGAACCCGUGCGGUCCGUAAUGGAAAAGGGUCCAAUAAUGGUCCUAGUAGUCCAAAUGUCCGGUCGGACACACCCGCUUCGGAUGUAUCUGUGAGCAAUCUGACAAAAAAGUUUGGAUCUCGUACGGUUACUCCGUCCACUAGUCUAUGUGUUCCCUUUCCAACACCCAGUCCAUCGAUUAGUCUACAUGCAAGUGACUUUUCCGACUCAGAGUCCACCAUCUCUACGUCCGUAACUGAAAAUGACUUCCCCGAUUCA